RNAcentral lists this ribosomal RNA (374 nucleotides) under uncultured organism. Its description in RNAcentral is "partial 16S ribosomal RNA". It matches the Rfam family "Bacterial small subunit ribosomal RNA", at positions 527 to 896 of the family's 1533-position model. The record is from RNAcentral.
GUAGGUGGCAAGCGUUGUCCGGAAUUAUUGGGCGUAAAGCGCGCGCAGGCGGUUCUUUAAGUCUGAUGUGAAAGCCCACGGCUCAACCGUGGAGGGUCAUUGGAAACUGGAGAACUUGAGUACAGAAGAGGAAAGCGGAAUUCCACGUGUAGCGGUGAAAUGCGUAGAGAUGUGGAGGAACACCAGUGGCGAAGGCGGCUUUCUGGUCUGUAACUGACGCUGAGGCGCGAAAGCGUGGGGAGCAAACAGGAUUAGAUACCCUGGUAGUCCACGCCGUAAACGAUGAGUGCUAAGUGUUAGGGGGGUUUUCCGCCCCCCUUAGUGCUGCAGCUAACGCAUUAAGCACUCCGCCUGGGAGUACAGCCGCAAGGCUG